GAGAGCUUGCUGGUAGGCUUAAAGCGGCGGACGGGUGAGUAAUGUCUGGGAAACUGCCUGAUGGAGGGGGAUAACUACUGGAAACGGUAGCUAAUACCGCAUAACGUCGCAAGACCAAAGAGGGGGACCUUCGGGCCUCUUGCCAUCAGAUGUGCCCAGAUGGGAUUAGCUAGUAGGUGGGGUAAUGGCUCACCUAGGCGACGAUCCCUAGCUGGUCUGAGAGGAUGACCAGCCACACUGGAACUGAGACACGGUCCAGACUCCUACGGGAGGCAGCAGUGGGGAAUAUUGCACAAUGGGCGCAAGCCUGAUGCAGCCAUGCCGCGUGUGUGAAGAAGGCCUUCGGGUUGUAAAGCACUUUCAGCGAGGAGGAAGGUGGUGAACUUAAUACGUUCAUCAAUUGACGUUACUCGCAGAAGAAGCACCGGCUAACUCCGUGCCAGCAGCCGCGGUAAUACGGAGGGUGCAAGCGUUAAUCGGAAUUACUGGGCGUAAAGCGCACGCAGGCGGUUUGUUAAGUCAGAUGUGAAAUCCCCGGGCUCAACCUGGGAACUGCAUUUGAAACUGGCAAGCUAGAGUCUCGUAGAGGGGGGUAGAAUUCCAGGUGUAGCGGUGAAAUGCGUAGAGAUCUGGAGGAAUACCGGUGGCGAAGGCGGCCCCCUGGACGAAGACUGACGCUCAGGUGCGAAAGCGUGGGGAGCAAACAGGAUUAGAUACCCUGGUAGUCCACGCUGUAAACGAUGUCGAUUUGGAGGUUGUGCCCUUGAGGCGUGGCUUCCGGAGCUAACGCGUUAAAUCGACCGCCUGGGGAGUACGGCCGCAAGGUUAAAACUCAAAUGAAUUGACGGGGGCCCGCACAAGCGGUGGAGCAUGUGGUUUAAUUCGAUGCAACGCGAAGAACCUUACCUACUCUUGACAUCCAGAGAACUUUCCAGAGAUGGAUUGGUGCCUUCGGGAACUCUGAGACAGGUGCUGCAUGGCUGUCGUCAGCUCGUGUUGUGAAAUGUUGGGUUAAGUCCCGCAACGAGCGCAACCCUUAUCCUUUGUUGCCAGCGGUUCGGCCGGGAACUCAAAGGAGACUGCCAGUGAUAAACUGGAGGAAGGUGGGGAUGACGUCAGGUCUUCUGGCCCUUACAAAUAGGGCUACCCCCGGGCUACAAGGGCGUUAACAAGAGAAACCACCCCGCAGAACAACGGACCCCAAAAAUACUCCCUAAUCCCGGAUUGGAUUUCGCCCCCCACCCCCGA
RNAcentral lists this ribosomal RNA (1248 nucleotides) under Serratia odorifera DSM 4582. RNAcentral describes it as "bacterial SSU rRNA". It matches the Rfam family "Bacterial small subunit ribosomal RNA", at positions 68 to 1321 of the family's 1533-position model. The record is from RNAcentral. Lineage: Bacteria; Pseudomonadati; Pseudomonadota; Gammaproteobacteria; Enterobacterales; Yersiniaceae.